This 75-nucleotide transfer RNA is filed under the name Melanosciadium pimpinelloideum. RNAcentral's name for it is "tRNA-Glu". Lineage: Eukaryota; Viridiplantae; Streptophyta; Magnoliopsida; Apiales; Apiaceae. The record is from RNAcentral.
ACUACAAUCCCAGGGAAAUAAAAAGAAGGGAUCUAGCAGAAAUUUUGAUUCUUUUUAUUCUUAUUCCUACGUAUC